Molecule: ribosomal RNA, 253 nt
Filed under: uncultured bacterium
Lineage: Bacteria
Description: partial 16S ribosomal RNA
Rfam family: Bacterial small subunit ribosomal RNA
Source: RNAcentral
UACGGAGGGUGCAAGCGUUGUCCGGAUUUAUUGGGUUUAAAGGGUGCGUAGGUGGUCAAUUAAGUCAGUGGUGAAAGCCCACAGCUCAACUGUGGAACUGCCAUUGAUACUGGUUGACUUGAGUACAGAUGAGGUAGGCGGAAUUUAUGGUGUAGCGGUGAAAUGCAUAGAUACCAUAAAGAACACCGAUAGCGAAGGCAGCUUACUAAACUGUUACUGACACUGAGGCACGAAAGCAUGGGGAGCGAACAGG